Molecule: ribosomal RNA, 459 nt
Filed under: Nitrospinaceae bacterium
Lineage: Bacteria; Pseudomonadati; Nitrospinota; Nitrospinia; Nitrospinales; Nitrospinaceae
Description: partial 23S ribosomal RNA
Rfam family: Bacterial large subunit ribosomal RNA
Source: RNAcentral
GAUAACAGGCUUAUCGCCUCCAAGAGUCCAUAUCGACGAGGCGGUUUGGCACCUCGAUGUCGGCUCACCGCAUCCUGGGGCUGAAGCAGGUCCCAAGGGUUGGUCUGUUCGCCCAUUAAAGCGGUACGCGAGCUGGGUUUAGAACGUCGUGAGACAGUUCGGUCCCUAUCCUUCGUGGGUGUUGGAAAUUUGAGGAGAUCUGCUCCUAGUACGAGAGGACCGGAGUGGACGAACCUCUGGUUUUCCGGUUGUGAUGCCAAUUGCAUCGCCGGGUAGCUAUGUUCGGAAAGGAUAACCGCUGAAAGCAUCUAAGCGGGAAGCCAACUCCAAAACUAGAUUUCCCUUCCUCCUUCGGGAGGACCGUAGACCCCUUGUAGACUACAAGGUUGAUAGGCCAGAUGUGUAAGCACAGCAAUGUGUUCAGCUAACUGGUACUAAUUGGUCGCGAGGCUUGAUCUU